CUUCAAAAACAACUGUGUGAGCUAAAUGAGCACAGGAAUAGACCAUAAUUUCCUACUUCCGCAUUAAAUUCAGAGUAGCUGAAAAGAACUCUGUGAAAGUGAAGUGAUGUUGCCUGUGCUUAUAUAGAGUUCAGAUGUCCUGCAGCGAGUGUCUGUAUACGAUGAGGAGUUUUACACUUUCACAUUUCCAACUCCUGUAUCUUCUAAUAGCAGGUUUAUCAGAAUGCAAAGUGGCGACACAGAGACGCUGCAUGCAGGUUCAUCAGUUGAACAUAAACUGUGUUCAGGGUGACAGCAUGACUAUUUCUUGCCUGACCACAAUCCACCUGCUGGAGUCUCUGACAGUCAAACUACACAAGAAAAACCAAGAUAAAGACAUCCUGAUAAAUCCAGACAUCUCUCCAGCAUCAGAGCACCAGAGAUGGUCUGUGAGGAAAGAUGCUGGAAAUGUUACACUUGAUCUGAAAGACAUCAGAUUAUCUGAUGAUGGCUUUUAUGACUGUCAGGUCUACAAGGAUCAGGACUGCCUUCAUGCAACUACAUUUAACCUGAGGGUCAAAGAGUGUAAAACUUUGGACUCUGUCCAUCCAACACCAGGCUCUUCAGUGUUGCUGCCAUGCUCUGAACAUCCUCUACAAAACAGAACUGAACGAGUCACUUGGAAAGUCAUUACUGGUCAUCAAUCAACAGAUAUAUUUCAGUAUCGGCCACCAAACAAGCCCUCAAGCAGCACAGAGAAACCCCCAAAGUCUCUGUAUGAGAGAGUGAGAAAACUAGCAAACGGAUCUCUGCUUAUAAGAGAUGCAGUCCGCACUGAUGAAUUGUGGUAUCAGUGCAGAGUGAAUGAAAAAACCUGCUAUGAAGUGAAGCUGCUGCUGAAAGAUGCUCCAGCCCCAGCUGACAGUAUGGUUGGCCACACUGAUGAGAGUGAAACAGCAGUUUAUCCAAUGACGCUGAAAACACUUUCCACAACAUCAUUACCUACAGGUAAGUGCCUGAAGUGGUGUGUGUGAUUAAAAGGACCUAACCAAACUGACUGAUCUUCAUAUAAGUUUAUCUUUUCUCUAGUGAUCACAGAUGCUCCGACCCCAGCUGCUGACAGUACGGCUGGCCAAACUCAAGGCAAUAACAGUGACAAGAGUGAAACAGUGACAGCUAAUCUGACAAUAGUUUCGAUGACUACAAUAGUGUCUCUGUGUGUCCUCAUAUCACUGACCAUCUGUAUCAUUCUCUAUUUCCAAAAAUGUAGGCCCAAAAUUGACAGCAAAAGUAAGUCAAGAGAAGUCCUGAAAAGUUGAACAUUGUUCUUUAACAGCAUAUUUUAAAUCAUAAUAAUGGCUUAUUGAAAAAAAACAACAGAGUUUAUACGUAUCUUACAUUUGCUCAUUUUGCAGUUGUUUUCUUUCAAAUGAGUGACAUUUCAUAUUCAUAUUUCAUAUUACAUUUCAAAUGAGUGACAUUAAAGUUCAUAUCAUGCCAUCAUGUUGAUUAGAGUCCUCAUGUUAAAAAGAAAGACACUUGGUAAUACUGUAACUUUAUAUGAUGUAAAAAAUGACUAGGUGGUAAAGUACUUAUUUUUGUAUUUUUUAGUUGAUUUGAACUGCUUGUCUACUGUAUAUUAUUCCAACAUUUCAGGAGGCAAGUGACAUUCAUAGUAAAUCCUUGUUCAAUAUUUGAUGAGCUGUUUAAUAAAAGUCUUUUUGUUUUUGUUUUUUUUUUGCA
This is a long non-coding RNA of Cyprinus carpio (common carp), 1722 nucleotides long. The record is from Ensembl. NCBI's taxonomy places the organism in Eukaryota, Metazoa, Chordata, Actinopteri, Cypriniformes, Cyprinidae.